This 212-nucleotide long non-coding RNA is filed under the name Elaeis guineensis (African oil palm). Its description in RNAcentral is "long non-coding RNA (EGUI_LNC047268)". Lineage: Eukaryota; Viridiplantae; Streptophyta; Magnoliopsida; Arecales; Arecaceae. The record is from RNAcentral.
CCUCAGCCUCCAAAGAUCUAACCGACUUUCUUCUCUGCGGCUACCUCAUUUUGGGGGCCGUUGUCCCAAAGAGAGGAGGAAAAUUGAUCGAGAGGGUAGAGAGGGAUGAGAGAUGGAUGGAAAUGAAGAGGAGAAGAGGGUUUUGGGUUGAUUGUAAUGGAUUUUGCAAUGUUAGGGCUUGAUAUUAUGAUGGAGAGCAAGAGGAUAUGCUA